UACGAGGGGGGCAAAUGUUGUUCGGAAUCACUGGGCGUAAAGGGAGCGUAGGCGGGUUUUUAAGUCAGGUGUUUAAUCCCGGGGCCCAACCCCGGACAGGCACUUGAAACUGGGAAUCUUGAAUAGUGGAGAGGUCGGUGGAAUUGGGGGUGUAGCGGUGGAAUGCGUAGAGAUCCCCAAGAACACCCGUUGCGAAGGCGGCCGACUGGACACAUAUUGACGCUGAGACGCGAAAGCGUGGGGAGCGAACAGG
This 253-nucleotide ribosomal RNA is filed under the name uncultured bacterium. Its description in RNAcentral is "partial 16S ribosomal RNA". It matches the Rfam family "Bacterial small subunit ribosomal RNA", at positions 524 to 776 of the family's 1533-position model. The record is from RNAcentral.